AAUCAACGCUGGCGGCGUGCCUCAGACAUGCAAGUCGAACGAUUAAACUUUCCUUCGGGAAAGAUAUAAAGUGGCGCACGGGUGAGUAACACGUAAGUAAUCUACCCUCGAGUGGGGAAUAACGUUCGGAACGGACGCUAAUACCGCAUAAUGCAGCGGCACCGCAAGGUGACAGUUGUUAAAGAUUUAUCGCUUGAGGGGGA
RNAcentral lists this ribosomal RNA (203 nucleotides) under uncultured bacterium. RNAcentral describes it as "partial 16S ribosomal RNA". It matches the Rfam family "Bacterial small subunit ribosomal RNA", at positions 32 to 228 of the family's 1533-position model. The record is from RNAcentral.